ACAGAUCGUUCAGAGUUUGAUCCUGGCUCAGGAUGAACGCUGGCGGCGUGCCUAACACAUGCAAGUCGAGCGAGAAUUUACGAAAUGAAGCUUCGGCAGAUUUUUGUAAAGGAAAGCGGCGGACGGGUGAGUAACGCGUGAGUAACCUGCCCUUAGUGGGGGAUAACACAUCGAAAGGUGUGCUAAUACCGCAUAAUAUAUGUUUACCGCAUGAUAGACAUAUCAAAGAUUUAUUGCCUAAGGAUGGACUCGCGUCUGAUUAGAUAGUUGGUGAGGUAACGGCUCACCAAGUCGACGAUCAGUAGCCGAACUGAGAGGUUGAUCGGCCACAUUGGGACUGAGACACGGCCCAG
This 353-nucleotide ribosomal RNA is filed under the name uncultured bacterium. Its description in RNAcentral is "bacterial SSU rRNA". It matches the Rfam family "Bacterial small subunit ribosomal RNA", at positions 1 to 334 of the family's 1533-position model. The record is from RNAcentral.